UGGGGAAUAUUGCACAAUGGGCGCAAGCCUGAUGCAGCAACGCCGCGUGAACGAUGAAGGUCUUCGGAUCGUAAAGUUCUGUUGCAGGGGAAGAUAAUGACGGUACCCUGUGAGGAAGCCCCGGCUAACUACGUGCCAGCAGCCGCGGUAAUACGUAGGGGGCUAGCGUUAUCCGGAUUUACUGGGCGUAAAGGGUUCGCAGGCGGAAAUGCAAGUAAGGUGUAAAAGGCAGUAGCUUAACUACUGUAAGCAUUUGAAACUGCAUAUCUUGAGAAGAGUAGAGGUAAGUGGAAUUUUUAGUGUAGCGGUGAAAUGCGUAGAUAUUAAAAAGAAUACCGGUGGCGAAGGCGACUUACUGGGCUCAUUCUGACGCUGAGGAACGAAAGCGUGGGUAGCAAACAGG
RNAcentral lists this ribosomal RNA (403 nucleotides) under Verrucomicrobiota bacterium. RNAcentral's name for it is "Verrucomicrobia bacterium partial 16S ribosomal RNA". It matches the Rfam family "Bacterial small subunit ribosomal RNA", at positions 355 to 776 of the family's 1533-position model. Lineage: Bacteria; Pseudomonadati; Verrucomicrobiota. The record is from RNAcentral.